Molecule: non-coding RNA, 101 nt
Organism: Karstenula rhodostoma CBS 690.94
Lineage: Eukaryota; Fungi; Ascomycota; Dothideomycetes; Pleosporales; Didymosphaeriaceae
Source: the annotation of a GenBank genome assembly
GGGCUUGUGGUUUAGUGGUAUAAUUUUCCCUUAGCAUUGGCAUCGUCUGCACGAUCGCGGAAGCGUGGGAAAGGUCCUGGGUUCGAUUCCCAGCAAGUCCA